AUGUUUUUGGAGGGUCCCAGGUGUUUUGGGGGGGGUCCCAGGUGUUUUGAGGUACUCAGGUGUUUUGGGGGGGACUCGGGUGUUUUUGGAGGGUCCCAGGUGCGUUUUUUGGGGGUCCCAGGGGUUUUGGGGUGUUCAGGUGCCUGGAGCAUCACCUCCCUCCCCCCCAGGCCCAGGUGCCCCCCGAGUCGUCGCUGGAGCCGAAGUCCCGAGUGUCGGGGGGGGUCUCACACCUGAGUCAUCCCCCCCCCAGCCCCCCCCAGGCUCUGCUGGAGGUGUCACCCCAAAACCAGGAGGGCGACGGGCAGCCCCCCCCGAGCCGCCGGCGCCGGCACAGCUCCCACUUCCCGCUCUGCUCCUUCUGCUGCAACUGCUGCCGGAACCGCGGCUGCGGCUUCUGCUGCCGCACCUGAGCCCCCCCGGGACCCCCCCCGGGACCCCCGGCACCGGGGCACCCCCCGACCCCCUAUUUAUUACCCCCCCCGCCCGUGGUGGCAAUAAA
Molecule: long non-coding RNA, 502 nt
Organism: Lepidothrix coronata (blue-crowned manakin)
Lineage: Eukaryota; Metazoa; Chordata; Aves; Passeriformes; Pipridae
Exons: 3
Source: RefSeq, a predicted model, not a curated record